RNAcentral lists this ribosomal RNA (235 nucleotides) under uncultured Actinomycetales bacterium. Its description in RNAcentral is "partial 16S ribosomal RNA". It matches the Rfam family "Bacterial small subunit ribosomal RNA", at positions 96 to 334 of the family's 1533-position model. Lineage: Bacteria; Bacillati; Actinomycetota; Actinomycetes; Actinomycetales. The record is from RNAcentral.
UGGCGAACGGGUGAGUAACACGUGGGUGAUCUGCCCUGCACUUUGGGAUAAGCCUGGGAAACUGGGUCUAAUACCAGAUAGGACCAUGCUUUGGAUGGUGUGGUGGAAAGUUUUUUCGGUGUGGGAUGAGCUUGCGGCCUAUCAGCUUGUUGGUGGGGUAAUGGCCUACCAAGGCGUCGACGGGUAGCCGGCCUGAGAGGGUGUACGGCCACAUUGGGACUGAGAUACGGCCCAG